GGACGGCUCAGAUGUGAAGGCGCAUUUGCCAUAAAACUUUUAUAGGUCAUAGAGUAAAAAUAUUAUUUAUCGAAUUGCAUGCCAACAAAAUCAUGCCUUCUAUCGCGAAAUUAUUAUAGUAUAUUUAUUAUUUGUUCAAUCUUUUGUUAAUUUAUUUGACACUUGUAUAUUUUAAGUUUGAAUGGAAUGUGUGUCGUCCCUAGAUUUAUUG
Molecule: long non-coding RNA, 211 nt
Organism: Aricia agestis (brown argus)
Lineage: Eukaryota; Metazoa; Arthropoda; Insecta; Lepidoptera; Lycaenidae
Exons: 3
Source: RefSeq, a predicted model, not a curated record